This 257-nucleotide ribosomal RNA is filed under the name uncultured prokaryote. RNAcentral describes it as "partial 16S ribosomal RNA". It matches the Rfam family "Bacterial small subunit ribosomal RNA", at positions 521 to 777 of the family's 1533-position model. The record is from RNAcentral.
UAAGACGGAGGGUGCUAGCGUUGUUCGGAAUCACUGGGCGUAAAGGGCGCGUAGGCGGCUUCAGGUGUCGGCUGUGAAAGCCCGGGGCUCAACCCCGGAGGUGCAGCCGAAACUCUGGGGCUCGAGGCCGGAAGAGGAGGGUGGAAUACCCAGUGUAGAGGUGAAAUUCGUAGAUAUUGGGUGGAACACCGGUGGCGAAAGCGGCUCUCUGGUCCGGUCCUGACGCUGAGGCGCGAAAGCGUGGGGAGCAAACAGGA